This 451-nucleotide ribosomal RNA is filed under the name uncultured bacterium. RNAcentral's name for it is "partial 16S ribosomal RNA". It matches the Rfam family "Bacterial small subunit ribosomal RNA", at positions 354 to 796 of the family's 1533-position model. The record is from RNAcentral.
GUGGGGAAUAUUGGACAAUGGGGGGAACCCUGAUCCAGCCAUGCCGCGUGUGUGAAGAAGGCCUUUUGGUUGUAAAGCACUUUAAGCGAGGAGGAGGCUACCGAGAUUAAUACUCUUGGAUAGUGGACGUUACUCGCAGAAUAAGCACCGGCUAACUCUGUGCCAGCAGCCGCGGUAAUACAGAGGGUGCGAGCGUUAAUCGGAUUUACUGGGCGUAAAUCGUGCGUAGGCGGCUUUUUAAGUCGGAUGUGAAAUCCCCGAGCUUAACUUGGGAAUUGCAUUCGAUACUGGGAAGCUAGAGUAUGGGAGAGGAUGGUAGAAUUCCAGGUGUAGCGGUGAAAUGCGUAGAGAUCUGGAGGAAUACCGAUGGCGAAGGCAGCCAUCUGGCCUAAUACUGACGCUGAGGUACGAAAGCAUGGGGAGCAAACAGGAUUAGAAACCCGUGUAGUCC